GCCUGGGUGGCUCAGUCGGUUGAGCAUCUGACUUCCACUCAGGUCGUGAUCUCACCGUUGGUGGGUUCAAGCCCUGUGUCGGGCU
Molecule: transfer RNA, 85 nt
Filed under: Felis catus (domestic cat)
Lineage: Eukaryota; Metazoa; Chordata; Mammalia; Carnivora; Felidae
Rfam family: tRNA
About the family: Transfer RNA (tRNA) molecules are approximately 80 nucleotides in length. Their secondary structure includes four short double-helical elements and three loops (D, anti-codon, and T loops).
Source: Rfam by way of RNAcentral